This 732-nucleotide long non-coding RNA is filed under the name Homo sapiens (human). RNAcentral describes it as "long intergenic non-protein coding RNA 472". The record is from RNAcentral. Lineage: Eukaryota; Metazoa; Chordata; Mammalia; Primates; Hominidae.
AAAAUCUCCCCAGAUGCUCACUGCUCUGAUCAUUUCCCCUACAGCACCAGACAUGUUGGCAUCAUCUCUUAGUUGGGCCAUGUGGCCAGGGAACCCUUCAUGAAACCACCUCUGCAGUCCUGGAGAGUUGCUGUAGAAGAAGGAAAAGAGAGGAAGACAACACAACACAGGAGGGGAUAAGUACCUCUGGACACAAUGGAAGUAGUAGUUGUUGAGCAGAGGGAAAGGGAUAGGAGAAGGAUGUGGACUGCAGUGCUGCAGUGCCAGAGCCCCAGCAGCUACUAUUAAUGAGUGUCUGGAAUAUGUUCCUGGCAUUUCACCUACCCUCUCUCCAAUCCUUCCAAGAAACUCACAAAGCAGGGCUUUUUCUUGAACUUCUCUUCCUCACAACAGUUAAAUCAUCCAUUUAAAGAUGUCAAACAACCUCCGUGUUCUAAGAACUAUUUACUGAGCUCUACGGAGACACAGCUACAAGCACCACAUGCUGGACCCCUGAAUAUGGAGGGCCAACUACACUAGAAACACACACGCUAGCUGAGAAAGAUGGUGGCUUAAGGAGAUCACCAGUUUGUAGUAGAGGCCCACUCUCGGAAGGUUUGGUAAAAAGUUGUUUUGAAUCAUAAUGUUGGCUUUAUUGGCAUGUUGAAACCAUUUACCUCUGUAAUUUUCCAUUUGUUUUCCUUUCCAACUACCACUCCUCCUGCCUGAUAAAUAAAUACCAUUGCAAGAUUA